Molecule: ribosomal RNA, 440 nt
Filed under: uncultured bacterium
Lineage: Bacteria
Description: partial 16S ribosomal RNA
Rfam family: Bacterial small subunit ribosomal RNA
Source: RNAcentral
CCUACGGGUGACAGCAGUGAGGAAUAUUGGUCAAUGGGCGCGAGCCUGAACCAGCCAAGUAGCGUGAGUGAAGAAGUAUUUCGGUAUGUAAAGCUCUAUCAGCAGGGAAGAAAAUGACGGUACCUGACUAAGAAGCCCCGGCUAACUACGUGCCAGCAGCCGCGGUAAUACGUAGGGGGCAAGCGUUAUCCGGAUUUACUGGGUGUAAAGGGAGCGUAGACGGUUAUGCAAGUCUGAAGUGAAAGCCCAAGGCUCAACCAUGGGACUGCUUUGGAAACUGUAAAACUGGAGUGCAGGAGAGGUAAGCGGAAUUCCUAGUGUAGCGGUGAAAUGCGUAGAUAUUAGGAGGAACACCAGUGGCGAAGGCGGCUUACUGGACUGUAACUGACGUUGAGGCUCGAAGGCGUGGGGAGCAAACAGGAUUAGAUACCCCAGUAGUC